RNAcentral lists this small RNA (32 nucleotides) under Arabidopsis thaliana (thale cress). RNAcentral describes it as "ATSL120730". Lineage: Eukaryota; Viridiplantae; Streptophyta; Magnoliopsida; Brassicales; Brassicaceae. The record is from RNAcentral.
UCGUGGUCAACGUCGCCGACUCCGAGGGUAAU